Molecule: RNA transcript, 1016 nt
Organism: Rhododendron vialii
Lineage: Eukaryota; Viridiplantae; Streptophyta; Magnoliopsida; Ericales; Ericaceae
Gene name: large ribosomal subunit protein uL6m
Exons: 2
Source: RefSeq, a predicted model, not a curated record
UCCCCGAAAUGAUUAGAACGCGAACACUUUGGAUCGUUUACGUGAGCCUGGGAAAGGGCCCAAAAUGGCCUGGGAAGGGGCCCAUUACCACUCUCUCUCUCUCUCCGACGAGCUACCUUCCUCUCUCUCCAUAUUGGAAACCCAUUCCCCCUACGCCACUUUCAAUUCACUCUCCAUUUCCCUCCGAUCAAACCCAGAUUUGAGACCAAAACCUAGAAUUUCACUCCUCGUUUCUCUGACUUUUGAAGGGAAUAGGAGGUUUGGAGAUUUAUGUGUAUAAGUGUUGCUGUUUUUGAUGGGUCAGUUUAGGAGACUUGAACUUGUGUCUCUUUAUUGGAGAAAUGUGGUAAGUUGAGACCUUUUACUGUUGUUGCUGAGUGUUUCCACUAGCACCUGGCUGUGCUUUAGUUAAAUGUUUUAUCGAUGGAAGCAUGAAUAAUUUCUUUCAAAGUCCGAACCAAAUAAGUGUGGACCAAUAAAGGAACUGUGAUGAACCAGGCCCUAUAAUAAUGCUUUGAAAAAAAGAUCAAAGGGCCUUGAGAUUGUGAUACAGAGCAUAAUUGGGGAAAAAAGGAUUUAUAAGCAUCCCAAAUGGUUUAAAGGCUAGAGUACUUUAUGUUAUAUAUAAACAUAAUAACUUCAAAAUAGUCUUUAUUUAAUUACUUUCAGCUGGAAAUCUGAAUGUGAGAAUGAAUUCUGCAAAAUUGGCAGCUAUGGAAUGCUAUAACGCGGAUAAAAAAAAGAGAUGGUAUGCGAUAACGGAUUUUGCAAAGCAUUGGUAGUUAAGGAGGGUCUAACCUUACUAGUUGUAGCUUGAAUAAGUUUUGUUAGUUUAUCUAUUUCUUUUGGUUUACUAUCAAGGUCAGUUUGGAAUUCCAGAUCGAGAGAUAAAAGGCGUUCAUUCGUUGCUCGGCGGACGGUGUUGCAAUGACAUAGGCUGCAUGCUUGGCUAUGAAGAUACAUUAUCGAAGGAUUAUAUGAACUUGCUUCUUGAUUGCUAAGAAUACAUACUUCAC